CCUACGGGUGGCAGCAGUGGGGAAUAUUGCACAAUGGGGGAAACCCUGAUGCAGCGACGCCGCGUGGGUGACGAAGUAUUUCGGUAUGUAAAGCCCUAUCAGUAGGGAAGAAGAUGACAGUACCUGACUAAGAAGCCCCGGCUAACUACGUGCCAGCAGCCGCGGUAAUACGUAGGGGGCAAGCGUUAUCCGGAUUUACUGGGUGUAAAGGGGGCGUAGGUGGCAUGGCAAGCCAGAAGUGAAAACCCGGGGCUUAACCCCGCGGAUUGCUUUUGGAACUGUCAGGCUUGAGUGCAGGAGGGGCAGGCGGAAUUCCUGGUGUAGCGGUGAAAUGCGUAGAUAUCAGGAGGAACACCAGUGGCGAAGGCGGCCUGCUGGACUGUAACUGACACUGAGGCUCGAAAGCGUGGGGAGCAAACAGGAUUAGAUACCCCUGUAGUC
RNAcentral lists this ribosomal RNA (441 nucleotides) under uncultured bacterium. RNAcentral's name for it is "partial 16S ribosomal RNA". It matches the Rfam family "Bacterial small subunit ribosomal RNA", at positions 338 to 795 of the family's 1533-position model. The record is from RNAcentral.